ACCGGGUUUGUCCUGCCAGUAGCAUAUGCUUGUCUCAAAGAUUAAAUGCACGCCGUACAUGCCCGAAAUAUAAGGGGAAACCGCAAAUGGUCAUUAAAUCAGUCACGGUUCUUUGGGAUCGUGACGCUUUUUGGAAAACUGGGCAAUUCUAGGCAAUACAUGCAGCCGAGCCCCGACCCCUCCGGGGCGAAAGACGUUUUUAUUAGAUUCUUCCCAGGCCAGCGAUGGCCGCGGACGUGACGAAGCUGAGCGGCCCGUCGCACGGGCUCGACCCGGCGACGCAUCCUUCUGUCUGCCAUAAACUGUCGACGGUAGGUGAUGCGCCUACCGUGGCCCCACUGACGGGGAAUCGGGUUCGAUUCGGAGGGAGCCGAGAAACGGCUACCCUCAAAGGGAAGGCACGGGCCCGAAAAUUACCCAAUCCCGGCUGGGGGAGGUGUGACGAAAAUAACGACGGGGACCUACGAGACCCGUCGCGGAAUGAGUAGCUCUAAACCUCUAACGAGGACCUACUGGGGGGCAAGACUAAUGCCAGCCGCUGCGGUUUUUUAGCUCCAGUGGCGUAUCAAAAUUUUGCAUUUAAAAAAGCUCGUAGUUGGAUGUCUGCUCUGGACGUAGGGGCCGCUCGCGCGGUCCCCAUGCGCACCGGCAUUCUGCUCGCCACUCGGGGUCGGUUUUCACCGGUGGGCCCCCGGUGGUCGGCGGUUAUCGCUUUGAAAAAAUUAGAGUGUUUUGGGGGUCCCACUCGAAUAUAAUGCACGGUACGAUGGAACUGACUUGGGAUCGGGUCCCGGGGACGACGGAACCGAGGUGAUGAUUAAUAGGAGCAGACGGGGCAUUCGUAUUCCGACGCUAGAGGGGGAAAGACCGUCGGAAGACGACCCACUGCAAAGAUUUCCCAAAGAAUGUUUCCCUUAAACCCAAAGAACGAAAGUCAGAGGCUAAAAGAAGAUUAGAUACCUUUGUAGUUCUGACCAAACGAUCCAGCCGCGAUCCGGCUGCGGCCGGUUGUGACGCCCCGGGCAGCUCGCCCGGGGAAACCUGAGUUCAGGCUCCGGGAAAUGGUUCAAAGCUGAAAUUUAAAGGAAUUGACGGGGGGGCACUCCCAGGAGUGGAGUACGGCUUAAUUCGACUCAACACGGGAAAACCCCCCCGGGCCCCGGACGUUUUAGGACGAAUUACAAAUUGAUAGCUUUUUGGGGGAAUAUGUGGAUGGUGGUGCAUGGCCGCAGUUGGUUCGGGGGGUGACCGCUGGUUGAUUCCGAUAAACGACGAGUUUCCCCGUUGGCUAAAUACGACUCUCCCCGUUCGAUGGGGGUUGCAAGUCUUCUUAGAAGGACCGGGGGCUUCAAGCCGUAAAAGAAUUGGGGUCUUGUGCCCUAAGAUGUCCGGGGCCGUGCGCUACAUAGAGCGGCACCCCGAGGUUUCCUUGGCCUUGGGUUGGGGAAAAUUUCAGUCCCUCUCAGUGCGGGGGAUGGGGUUGAAAUUUCCCCCUCCAACGAGGAAUUCCCAGUGGCGGGGGUCAUUAACUCGUGCCGACAAAGUCACUCCCCUUUGUACACACCGCCCGCGCUGUCCCCGAUUGAACGGGGGGGGUUUCACCCUUAUCCGUGGCCUUUUGGGGGUCGGGGUGGACUAGGGGGGAAUUUCCCCGAACGCCCUUUGGGAGGGGGGAAAAAGUUAAAAAGGUUUCCGUAGGUGAACCUGUGGAAGGAUCUU
Molecule: ribosomal RNA, 1719 nt
Filed under: Trichonephila inaurata madagascariensis
Lineage: Eukaryota; Metazoa; Arthropoda; Arachnida; Araneae; Nephilidae
Description: 18S ribosomal RNA
Rfam family: Eukaryotic small subunit ribosomal RNA
Source: RNAcentral